GACCUCGGAUCAGGUAGGAAUACCCGCUGAACUUAAGCAUAUCAAUAAGCGGAGGAA
RNAcentral lists this ribosomal RNA (57 nucleotides) under Auricularia polytricha. Its description in RNAcentral is "partial 28S ribosomal RNA". Lineage: Eukaryota; Fungi; Basidiomycota; Agaricomycetes; Auriculariales; Auriculariaceae. The record is from RNAcentral. RNAcentral also lists the same sequence under 12 other names.